RNAcentral lists this ribosomal RNA (253 nucleotides) under uncultured bacterium. RNAcentral describes it as "partial 16S ribosomal RNA". It matches the Rfam family "Bacterial small subunit ribosomal RNA", at positions 524 to 776 of the family's 1533-position model. The record is from RNAcentral.
UACGUAGGGUGCGAGCGUUAAUCGGAAUUACUGGGCGUAAAGCGUGCGCAGGCGGUUUUGUAAGCCAGAUGUGAAAUCCCCGAGCUUAACUUGGGAAUUGCAUUCGAUACUGGUUAGCUAGAGUGUGGGAGAGGAUGGUAGAAUUCCAGGUGCAGCGGUGAAAUGCGCAGAUAUCAGGAGGAACACCGGUGGCGAAGGCGGGUCUCUGGGCAACAACUGACGCUGAGGAGCGAAAGCGUGGGGAGCGAACAGG